GACGAACGCUGGCGGCGUGCUUAACACAUGCAAGUCGAACGGAAAGGCCCUGCUUUUGUGGGGUGCUCGAGUGGCGAACGGGUGAGUAACACGUGAGUAACCUGCCCUUGACUUUGGGAUAACUUCAGGAAACUGGGGCUAAUACCGUAUAGGAGCUCCUGCUGCAUGGUGGGGGUUGGAAAGUUUCGGCGGUUGGGGUUGGAUUCGCGGCUUAUCAGCUUGUUGGUGGGGUAGUGGCUUACCAAGGCUUUGACGGGUAGGCGGCAUGGGAGGGUGACCGGCGACAAGGGGACUGAGAUACGGCCCAGACGCCUACGGGAGGCAGCAGUGGGGAAUAUUGCACAGUGGGAGGAAGCCGGAUGAAGAAACGCCGCGGGCGGGAUGACGGCCUUCGGGUUGUAAACCGCUGUAGCCUGUGACGAAGCGUGAGUGACGGUAAUGGGUAAAGAAGCACCGGCUAACUACGUG
RNAcentral lists this ribosomal RNA (468 nucleotides) under uncultured bacterium. RNAcentral's name for it is "partial 16S ribosomal RNA". It matches the Rfam family "Bacterial small subunit ribosomal RNA", at positions 28 to 507 of the family's 1533-position model. The record is from RNAcentral.